UGUGACUUAGUUUAUCUAGAACAAUCAACUUGCACUUGAUAAGAGAAUAUUUCAGUGACGG
This 61-nucleotide transfer RNA is filed under the name Amynthas surcatus. RNAcentral's name for it is "tRNA-Ala". Lineage: Eukaryota; Metazoa; Annelida; Clitellata; Crassiclitellata; Megascolecidae. The record is from RNAcentral.